GUGUCCAUAUAGGGGAAGCACUUUGGUGUUUGUUGAAAGCUACACCUGAUAAGUUAGGCUGAGAAGGGGACCAAAGAAAAAUCAGUGCUGUAGACUGGUGAUGUACAGGUGAGCAAGCCAACUACAGGGAAUGGAAACAAGAAAUGAAUUGAAGACUACAAAACAGAGAAAAUAAAGGUACCUUGGGCUGCUACUGAGUACCCCUGGCUAUACCAAGUAGCAGAGCCUCUGAAAGAUCAGAAAGUCAACUUGUGGAUUUAUACAACAUAUAUAAUAGAAAGUAAAAGAAAAAAAAGGGGAGGUGAGAGGGGGGAGAAAAACAGAAAGC
This 328-nucleotide long non-coding RNA is filed under the name Anas platyrhynchos platyrhynchos (common mallard). Its description in RNAcentral is "lncRNA (ENSAPLG00000030467.1)". The record is from RNAcentral. Lineage: Eukaryota; Metazoa; Chordata; Aves; Anseriformes; Anatidae.